GGUUUAGGGUUUAGGGUUUAGAGUUUAGGGUUUAGGGUUUAGAGUUUAUGGUUUAGGGUUUAGAGUUUAGGGUUUAGGGUUUAGAGUUUAUGGUUUAGGGUUUAGAGUUUAUGGUUUAGGGUUUAGAGUUUAGGGUUUAGAGUUGAGAAAUGAGGUUUUGGGGAUAAGAUUUCAAAUUUUGGAAAAUAAAAAAAUUAAAAUUUUCAAAAGAUAAACUUAGAAAGGUACUAUUUUGGUCAUUUUAGUUUUUGAGUGCUAUUUUUGUGAUAUAAAC
Molecule: long non-coding RNA, 274 nt
Filed under: Brassica napus (rape)
Lineage: Eukaryota; Viridiplantae; Streptophyta; Magnoliopsida; Brassicales; Brassicaceae
Description: long non-coding RNA (BNAP_LNC013397)
Source: RNAcentral